GACGAACGCUGGCGGCGUGCCUAUACAUGCAAGUUUAGCCCCGAAGGGUGGUUCUUGUAACAACUGGAUGAGCAGCGAAAGGGUGAGUUACGCGGGGGGAAUCUUGCUUUGAGGGGGGGACAACAUUUGGAAACGAAAGCUAAUUCCGCAUAAAAACUUUAAAAACAAAUUUUAAGUUUGAAAAAAGCAAUUGGAACACUCAAAGAAGAUUCCGACUUGUAUUAGCUAGUUGGUGAGGUAAAGGCUCACCAAGGCGAUGAUACAUAGCCGACCUGAGAGGGUGAUCGGCCACAUUGGGACUGAGACACGGCCCAAACUCCUACGGGAGGCAGCAGUAGGGAAUCUUCGGCAAUGGACGAAAGUCUGACCGAGCAACGCCGCGUGAGUGAAGAAGGUUUUCGGAUCGUAAAACUCUGUUGGUAGAGAAGAACGUUGGUGAGAGUGGAAAGCUCAUCAAGUGACGGUAACUACCCAGAAAGGGACGGCUAACUACGUG
RNAcentral lists this ribosomal RNA (496 nucleotides) under uncultured bacterium. RNAcentral's name for it is "partial 16S ribosomal RNA". It matches the Rfam family "Bacterial small subunit ribosomal RNA", at positions 28 to 507 of the family's 1533-position model. The record is from RNAcentral.